CCUACGGGAGGCAGCAGUGAGGAAUAUUGGUCAAUGGACGAGAGUCUGAACCAGCCAAGUAGCGUGAAGGAUGACUGCUCUAUGGGUUGUAAACUUCUUUUAUAAAGGAAUAAAACGCGGCACGUGUGCCUUUUUGCAUGUACCUUAUGAAUAAGGAUCGGCUAACUCCGUGCCAGCAGCCGCGGUAAUACGGAGGAUCCGAGCGUUAUCCGGAUUUAUUGGGUUUAAAGGGAGCGUAGAUGGGUUUUUAAGUCAGUUGUGAAAGUUUGCGGCUCAACCGUAAAAUUGCAAUUGAUACUGGGAGUCUUGAGUACAGUUGAGGUAGGCGGAAUUCGUGGCGUAGCGGUGAAAUGCUUAGAUAUCACGAAGAACCCCGAUUGCGAAGGCAGCUUACUAAACUGUGACUGACGUUGAUGCUCGAAAGUGUGGGUAUCAAACAGGAUUAGAUACCCUUGUAGUC
RNAcentral lists this ribosomal RNA (460 nucleotides) under uncultured bacterium. RNAcentral describes it as "partial 16S ribosomal RNA". It matches the Rfam family "Bacterial small subunit ribosomal RNA", at positions 338 to 795 of the family's 1533-position model. The record is from RNAcentral.